CAGCUGCCCCGGGAUCCUGGCCGCCGCCUGUGGGUCUGUGGGUCGUUUGCGCAGGAACCUGUUGGAGCGAGCGGCUUUGGGGACGCUGGCACCCAGUCCCCCGGGCGGCCCUAGAGGAACAAGAGUUCCUGAUGGGCUCUGAUGACAGUGAAGCUCCCCGGUAGUCCACCCACGUGGGAUAUCAGGUCGCCACGUGGUCCUUCAGGCAUGGAGAAGUGGGGUAGAAAGGCCCACCCUUGACCCGAUGCCCCCUCUGACCCCAGAGGUCCUUUGCUAUAAGUGGCUUGAUAGUAGGGACACCUGGCCUAGGGACUUCCCAAAAAAAAGAUUGACGGAGAGACAUUUCAAGGAUUCCCGCUGUCCAAGGGCUCCUCCAACUCUUUCUGCUGGUGUCUUUUCCACUUUUUUGCCCUUUUUUAACUUUCAUGUCCCUGGUUGUCCUCUUCUUCCUUUUCAGAGUCGGCUGAGCCAUCUCAUCCGCGCGCAUUGCUUUGAUCCCACCGUGCCCCCCCCCCCUUUCUCAUGACCUCCCAGCCCCACCCCAAGCUGCUCCUUCCCCUUGCCCUCCAGCCUGUGGACACACUCGGGGGUUGGUCCCGCAGGAACCUUAAACUUCGCAGGGCUUGAAUGAAGAUAAUAGUACACUUUUGCCUCGUAGAAUUGUGAGAAUUAAAAUACAGCUGACCCUUGAACAACAGUGAUUGGAACUGCGUGGGUCCACUCAUAGAUUUUUUUCAUUCUAGUGCGUUUAAGGUAUCAUCUUUAUUCUACAAAUGUUGAAAUAGGUAGGAGGAGAUUGUAGUGGAGUCUGUCUCACUCAUGCUCAAGUGAACACAGCUGGGCCUGAAGUUGUCUUCCAGGAUCAAGUGGAGAAGCUCGAGCAGCCCUUCUGAGGAAUCCCAACUAAGGAAUCUCUGCCUCCGCGUGCUUGCAGGGCAAAAGUAGUGCUGGAGAGCUCUUCUCACCAAUCCACGAGGCAUACAGUCACAGAGAGAGAGAGAGGCACAGAGACACAGGCAGAGGGAGAAGGCUCCAUGCACCGGAAGCCCGAUGUGGGAUUCGAUCCCGGGUCUCCAGGAUCGCGCCCUGGGCCAAAGGCAGGCGCCAAACCGCUGCGCCACCCAGGGAUCCCAUGAUGACAGCUUUUAAAUGCUGCAUAAUACCCUCCAGUUCCAUCCACGUUGAAGCAAAUGGUGGGAGACCCGAUUCCUACUAGACUGUCCUCCUGGCCUACUUUUGUCAUUUGUAGAUUGGAUGAGGAGUACUGCCCUAACAUUUCACCGGAGAGCUGUGAGGUCAAACUGAGAUAAUGUGACUGAGAAUAUUUUAAAACUGUAUAGUGAUGUAUGAGCAUAAGGAACAUUUAAAUACUCAGUGUUAUUAGCAUGUUUGAGGUCAAGAUAUCAAUUCACAGUUUGUGGUUCUACCUUGAAUGACUCUACAGAAAAGUCAUAAGAAAAUAUAAAGUGAUUUCAGUAUAAAUUCAGCUAUUAUUUUGAGAGCAAGUAACUUUCAGGUUAGUGUCUGGAAUUUUAUAGUUAUUUCAUAGAUUAUACCCCUAAUUUCAAGAACUGUUAUUAAUGUAUCAAAUACUGUGUUAAGUACCUCACAUGUACACUUUGUGCCUGGGUCUUAAUUUAUAAAGAUGACUGAAUGAUGACAUGGAGAGGUCAAUGCUAUUUGAAGAGAAAUUUAAUGUCAGUCACAUUUCUUCUAGAAACAUGAGACAUGGCUGGUUAUGCAGGGCCAGGGAGGAGCACCAGGUUUUGAUCAGGAAGCUGAAGCUGUUAGAGGGAUAGGUUUAGGCCUGAGCUUUUACUGGAGUUUCUGUGGGAAAGGCAAGGGAGGGCAAGCUGAGCAGUUUAGGGUUGGCUUAUCUGAAGAAUUUUGGAAAAAAAAAAAAAAAAAGAAUUUU
Long non-coding RNA from Canis lupus familiaris (dog), 1915 nucleotides. RefSeq lists it as uncharacterized. The record is from RefSeq and is a predicted model, not a curated record. The transcript has 6 exons. Lineage: Eukaryota; Metazoa; Chordata; Mammalia; Carnivora; Canidae.